This 261-nucleotide ribosomal RNA is filed under the name uncultured bacterium. Its description in RNAcentral is "partial 16S ribosomal RNA". It matches the Rfam family "Bacterial small subunit ribosomal RNA", at positions 92 to 353 of the family's 1533-position model. The record is from RNAcentral.
CGACCGGCGCACGGUGAGUAACACGUAUCCAACCUGCCUCAUACUCGGGGAUAGCCUUUCGAAAGAAAGAUUAAUAUCCGAUAGCAUAUAUUUCCCGCAUGGGUUUUAUAUUAAAGAAAUUCGGUAUGAGAUGGGGAUGCGUUCCAUUAGUUUGUUGGGGGGGUAACGGCCCACCAAGACUACGAUGGAUAGGGGUUCUGAGAGGACGAUCAGCCACAUUGGGACUGAGACACGGCCCAGACUCCUACGGGAGGCAGCAUG